UACGGAGGGUGCAAGCGUUAAUCGGAAUUACUGGGCGUAAAGCGCACGCAGGUGGCUGAGUCAGUCGAUUGUGAAAGCCCUGGGCUUAACCUGGGAAUUGCAGUCGAUACUACUCAGCUAGAGUAUGGGAGAGGGCAGUGGAAUUCCCGGUGUAGCGGUGAAAUGCGUAGAUAUCGGGAGGAACAUCAAUGGCGAAAGCAGCUUUCUGGGACGGUACUGACGCUGAGACGCGAAAGCGUGGGGAGCGAACAGG
Molecule: ribosomal RNA, 253 nt
Filed under: uncultured bacterium
Lineage: Bacteria
Description: partial 16S ribosomal RNA
Rfam family: Bacterial small subunit ribosomal RNA
Source: RNAcentral